AGCGGCUCUCCCAACUUGCUCGAGUUGGGUGACGUCCUGGAGAGGAAUUGAAGGACCGGAUGGUCCAGUUUCGAUGGCAACCCCGGGGUCUCACCCUUGGGUCCUCUUGAGGUUCUCUCAUUGGCUUACAAAAGGGAGAUUAGAAGACUUGCUUUUUCAACCUUCCCACAUCUAAAGAUGCUGAAAAAGAUGAUACUGACAUCAAUAUCAAAGCAUUCUCUGACUCAGACUGCAGUGCUUCUUGAGACCAAGGAUCAAGUGUUCACCGCCAUUUGCCCAGCACCUGGCAAAAUGCCUGACACUUACAUACUUCUGGAAAACGUUUAUCAGUCCGCUUGCAGCUAGGAUGAGCUUCGUGACUAGUUCUCACCAAUGGAAAGUAGGCAGAAAUGAUGGACCUACCUCCAGGCCUAGCCCAUAAAAUACUGGACUUAGCUUCUCCCUCACUCUUUCAGUCCCUUCAGUUGGAUGCAGAGGAAUCAGUGGAGGAUUUCAAGGCCCGAGAAGAUACUAGAGCCAUAAGAUAGGAAAUGCUUGGAGCUUGAAUCGCCUGAAUGACUGUGUAAACAUCCACCAACCUGAUCCCAAACAAUUCAUGUUGGACUGUGACACGAAUAAGAAAUUAUUGUGUUCAGCCAUUGAAUUUGGAUUCUUAAUCACACUCAAAGCCUUAUAUUCACCCAUCUAAGGGCUGGGAUAAAAAGCACUUACACAGCUUGGCCCACCCAAAUGGUAAGGGCCUAAAGCAGCAGGUACUCUUGUAGUGCUGACCACGGGGCUUCUCUGUUUCCCACCAUUUCCUCUGUGACACAGACCUAACCUGGGACUUGGCCAGUGCUGUCCAUGAGGGAACUAGGGAGUUGCAGUUCCUUAUGCACAUGAGGCCCCCUGUUCUAGUUCUAGUGAUGGGCACUGCUACUUAGCCUGAGUUCCGGUGCUUUUUGUAAAGCUUAGUCCUGCUUUUAGAGUUUUUAGUUUUAUAUUCCAGGAAUAGACCUUGCUUUGCUUUUGCUGGAUCCUGCACCAGAGCUAUAAACCCUCCUCCAGAGGCCAUUCCACACUGAUUAACCAUGGUAAGCAGGAAAAGCCAGUUUUCUGCCUGUUUGGGAUCUUGUGUCUUAUCUACCUUCUUUACACCCUGCCUUCCCCAGUCAUGUUGGGAAACCGUAUUGUACCCUGGUGCCCUAGUUGGCAGACCAAGUAUUUAGUUCAACUAUGUCCAUUUUUCCUGUGUUUCACUGAGGCCCCUUUGAGCUUUGGGGUGUCAGAGCCUUUACUUUCAGUUGGGCCCAUGCCUACCUUUCACCCCCUGAUAUGGCUGGGUCUGGAGCCAGGUGUCCUCUUGACCUUUCUCUCCAGCCUAAAGUAAGGAGUAGGGCCUCACAGAGAAGUUCUGAGACAGCGCAGUUCAGAGGUCAUCAAGGUAUUUUGCUUUUCUAUUGACGUUUAAUAUUUUAGUGAUGCUUUUUGUGACAAACGUGUUUUAGUUGUAGAGCAUCACAAAUACAUUAAUGGUUUGUAUUCAUGCCUUGUAUUUCUAUAAGAUAUAAAUACACUGCAUUUUAGUGCA
Molecule: long non-coding RNA, 1570 nt
Organism: Leopardus geoffroyi (Geoffroy's cat)
Lineage: Eukaryota; Metazoa; Chordata; Mammalia; Carnivora; Felidae
Exons: 4
Source: RefSeq, a predicted model, not a curated record